UACAUCUGGCUGAUGUCUUGAUUCAAGCAUUGUGUUCCUCAGGGACAACUUUCUGCAAGGAUCUGUCUAAUCUGCCUGUCCCCAGUCUGAUUGUUUGGUGGGAAGGACAGAACCUGGAUGCCCACAAGAUGGAAGACAGCUUCCACUGAAAAAGGUACUGAUGGAAACACUUGGAAGAUUCUCCCCAAAUGGGAACACAAGAGAUUCAGCUUUUCCUGCCUUUAUAAGCUAUGUUUUCCUUUUGUCGAGAGGCUUAUUCUCGCUGAUGAGAUAAGAAUGGGAAGAUGCAUUGAUUUCUGAGCACUCUCUCUCUCUCUCUCUCUC
Pogona vitticeps (central bearded dragon) is the source of this 324-nucleotide long non-coding RNA. The record is from Ensembl. Lineage: Eukaryota; Metazoa; Chordata; Lepidosauria; Squamata; Agamidae.